Molecule: ribosomal RNA, 275 nt
Filed under: uncultured Bacteroidota bacterium
Lineage: Bacteria; Pseudomonadati; Bacteroidota
Description: uncultured Bacteroidetes bacterium partial 16S ribosomal RNA
Rfam family: Bacterial small subunit ribosomal RNA
Source: RNAcentral
GAUGAACGCUAGCGGGAGGCUUAACACAUGCAAGUCGGGCGGCAAGGCAGCAAUGCCCUAGAGCGGCGCACGGGUGAGUAACGCGUAUGCAACCUGCCCUUUACAGGGGGAUAGCCCAGGGAAACUUGGAUUAAUACCCCAUAUGGCCACAAUUUCGCAUGGGAAUGUGGUUAAAGAUUUAUCGGUAAAGGAUGGGCAUGCGUGACAUUAGCUAGUUGGGGGGUAACGCCCACCAAGGCUACGAUGUCUAGGGGUUCUGAGAGGAUGAUCCCCCA